GUCUUCUUGUUUUUAUAGGAAGUCUGACCUGCCCGGUGAUUUUUUUUAACGGCCGCGGUAUAUUGACCGUGCAAAGGUAGCAUAAUCAUUAGCUUUUUAAUAGGGAGCUGGUAUGAAGGGUUUGACGAGGAGUUGACUGUCUCAUUUUAAUUAGUUGAAUUUGACUUUUUAGUUAAAAGGCUUUAAAAUUUUAUUGGUAGACGAGAAGACCCUAUAGAGCUUUACAUUUAUACCUUUUAAUUUUUUUGUUUAAUCUUAAAUUAUUUUUGUAUCAAUAUGUUUUGUUGGGGUGAUGUUUGAAUAUAUAUAACUUCUUUUUUUCUUAUCAUUGAUGUAUGUUUUAUUGAUCCGUUUAUGUUAGCGAUUAUUAGAUUAAGUUACCUUAGGGAUAACAGCGUAAUCCUUUUUUGGAGUUCUUAUUUACAGAAGGGCUUGCGACCUCGAUGUUGGAUUAAGAUGACUUUCUGGCGCAGUUGCUAGAGUAGUGGGUCUGUUCGACCUUUAAAUUCUUACAUGAUCUGAGUUCAGACCGG
This 533-nucleotide ribosomal RNA is filed under the name Drepanosticta dulitensis. Its description in RNAcentral is "partial 16S ribosomal RNA". It matches the Rfam family "Bacterial large subunit ribosomal RNA", at positions 1831 to 2619 of the family's 2925-position model. The record is from RNAcentral. Lineage: Eukaryota; Metazoa; Arthropoda; Insecta; Odonata; Platystictidae.